UGCCACUGCACUCCAGCCUGGCGACAGAGUGAGACUCCAUCUCAAAAAAAAAAAAAAAGCCGGGCGUGGUGGCACAUGUCCUGUUAUCCCAGCUACUUGGGAGGCUGAGGCAGGAGAAUCACUUGAAUCCGGGAGGGCGGAGGUUGCAGUGAGCCGAGAUCAAGCCACUGCACUCCAGCCUGGGUGACAGACUGAGAUCCUGUGUGAAAAAAACAAAGUUUUACAUUUAAUUUGAUACUCAUGAUCAUUCGAUGGGGUGAGUACUAUUAUUUAUUCCCAUUUCACAGAUAAGGAAACUGAGGCUUAGGCAGGUUGGGUGGCAUGCCCAGGGCCCCGUACAGUGGGAGCUGGAGUUCGUUGUGUGGUUCUAGAGCUUGUGCUCGGCCUAGUGACAGGAGCUCUGGAGUCUGGGAGCACAAAGAGGGGCACAGGGCCACCAAGUGGGUCUUGGAUCUGCCCUCCAGGUGUGGGCCCAUCGCUGGAUGGAUCUGUCGGAACACGGCUUUGGGCUGGCCCUGCUCAACGACUGCAAGUAUGGCGCGUCAGUGCGAGGCAGCAUCCUCAGCCUCUCGCUCUUGCGGGCGCCUAAAGCCCCGGACGCUACUGCUGACACGGGGCGCCACGAGUUCACCUACGCGCUGAUGCCGCACAAGGGCUCUUUCCAGGAUGCUGGCGUUAUCCAAGCUGCCUACAGCCUAAACUUCCCCCUGCUGGCUCUGCCAGCCCCCAGCCCAGCGCCCGCCACCUCCUGGAGUGCGUUUUCCGUGUCUUCACCCGCGGUCGUAUUGGAGACCGUCAAGCAGGCAAGGGCAGCCCCCAGCGCCGCUCGCUGGUCCUGAGGCUGUAUGAGGCCCACGGCAGCCACGUGGAUUGCUGGCUGCACUUGUCGCUGCCGGUUCAGGAGGCCAUCCUGUGAGUGGCGGUGAGGGAUUGGGGCGGGGGUCGAGUCUCGCCCUCGCAGAGCCUUCAUGGCCCCUCCUGUUCUCCAGCUGCGAUCUCUUGGAGCGACCAGACCCUGCUGGCCACUUGACCCUUCGGGACAACCGCCUGAAGCUCACCUUUUCUCCCUUCCAAGUGCUGUCCCUGUUGCUCGUGCUUCAGCCUCCACCACACUGAGUCCUUGGGGCUGGGGUUUUGUUUGUUUUGUAGAAGGCUCUGGGGACUCCUAAUUUCUGCUUCCCCAGCCUAAAGCAGGGAUCAGUCUCUUCUUGUGGAAUAAAUCCUUGGAUCAGG
Molecule: small RNA, 1233 nt
Filed under: Pan troglodytes (chimpanzee)
Lineage: Eukaryota; Metazoa; Chordata; Mammalia; Primates; Hominidae
Description: retained intron
Source: RNAcentral